Molecule: long non-coding RNA, 588 nt
Organism: Eubalaena glacialis (North Atlantic right whale)
Lineage: Eukaryota; Metazoa; Chordata; Mammalia; Artiodactyla; Balaenidae
Exons: 6
Source: RefSeq, a predicted model, not a curated record
UCGCUGACCAACAGCGAGAGUGCCGAACGGACAUUCAGGGACUCGAGGUGCCCUUCGGCCAGCGCUUCCAUGGUACAAUUCUCCAACGCUGCUCGGGCCGCAUCCUGCUUCCUCCAAGUAUCCUGCCCAGGGUCACACAGCCAUGGGAACUUCGCAGAGAAGGGAAUCCAGAGCAGACUACAAGUGCAGUGUUCUGCAGAGACCCCAGGCCCAUUUUCCUGGACCAUCUGGCUCACCUUCAGAAAGGCCUGUUUGGACCAGUUUGGGAAGGAAGCCAGGGAGCCGGCAGAUGAGGAAACCAAGACCCAGGGAGGCAAAGCCACACCCACGGUCACACAGCUCUCCCACAGGUGCUGGAUUCUGUCCCUGAUGCUGCGGGCAGGUUGCUGAGAUGCCCCCUCCACCAGGACAGCAGAAUCCUGGAUUUCUGGAGGUCCCCGUGGCUGUGGGCCGAAGGGUGAAUAUUAUCAAGGAGAUUUGAGACGUCACUACUAGCAAGAGAGCUCUGCAAAACCUUCUUCACGUCCCCAGAUAAGGACAUGGAGGCUGAGAAAGGCUAAGUGACUGGCACGAGUUGUUCACCAGGAA